Molecule: ribosomal RNA, 497 nt
Filed under: uncultured bacterium
Lineage: Bacteria
Description: partial 16S ribosomal RNA
Rfam family: Bacterial small subunit ribosomal RNA
Source: RNAcentral
GAUGAACGCUGGCGGCGUGCCUAAUACAUGCAAGUCGAGCGAGCAGACGAGGAGCUUGCUCCUCUGACGUUAGCGGCGGACGGGUGAGUAACACGUGGAUAACCUACCUAUAAGACUGGGAUAACUUCGGGAAACCGGAGCUAAUACCGGAUAAUAUAUUGAACCGCAUGGUUCAAUAGUGAAAGACGGUUUUGCUGUCACUUAUAGAUGGAUCCGCGCCGCAUUAGCUAGUUGGUAAGGUAACGGCUUACCAAGGCGACGAUGCGUAGCCGACCUGAGAGGGUGAUCGGCCACACUGGAACUGAGACACGGUCCAGACUCCUACGGGAGGCAGCAGUAGGGAAUCUUCCGCAAUGGGCGAAAGCCUGACGGAGCAACGCCGCGUGAGUGAUGAAGGUCUUCGGAUCGUAAAACUCUGUUAUUAGGGAAGAACAAAUGUGUAAGUAACUAUGCACGUCUUGACGGUACCUAAUCAGAAAGCCACGGCUAACUACGUG